This is a long non-coding RNA of Rosa rugosa (rugosa rose), 701 nucleotides long. RefSeq lists it as uncharacterized. The transcript is spliced from 2 exons. The record is from RefSeq and is a predicted model, not a curated record. NCBI's taxonomy places the organism in Eukaryota, Viridiplantae, Streptophyta, Magnoliopsida, Rosales, Rosaceae.
ACCCUUAUACUCUUUGUGCUGGAUUUAUUUUAGUAUUGGUUGUGUACAAGUCACUUGCAGUUUAAUCUUUUUGAACUGUCAGGAGGAUUCAGCAGAGGAACGCUUACCCGCCCGAAGCGUUGGAACUGUCCUUGCCAAGACAAGAAAAGGAUAGCUUUGCAUCUGCAUUUGUUUCAACAUUAUUAUUCCCAGACACUGCUCACUAGUGACAACAUCUCAAAUCAGAUUCCAAAGGAGCUGGUAACUACUCCAACUGAUGAAACUGACAUGAUACACAAUUCACACCGAAGGAGCUGGUGUUCUAAUUGCAAAUAUAGACAAUUUUUGCUUAGCCUGUGUUUGGCAAAUGCACCCGCAAAGUAGAGAUAUAAUGUGUUUAAUGUCUGUAAAUGUAGUAUUAAUCAUAUUGAUAAUACACCCGCAGAGUAACCACAUUGAAAUAGAACUCUGAAGAAAAUCGACAUAUGGUUAUCAUGAUUGCUGACGGAGUAAGACAAGCUCUUCUUUUAGAGAAAUUGCAUUCGAAGAACCAGCAAGCAACAGCAACACCAAAUGAAUAUUCUAUUGUAUCUCUCUUCACAAUACCCUUUCAAAUCAAAUAUAUCUUACCUAAAUUUUUGCACCGCCAUCAAACAAUUUAAAGCAAACCAAAUGUACAAACCAACAAUACAAAAUCAAUGAUAUUCUUUUUUAUACAAUCA